Molecule: ribosomal RNA, 254 nt
Filed under: uncultured bacterium
Lineage: Bacteria
Description: partial 16S ribosomal RNA
Rfam family: Bacterial small subunit ribosomal RNA
Source: RNAcentral
GACGAACCGUGCAAACGUUAUUCGGAAUCACUGGGCUUAAAGCGCGUGUAGGCGGGACAGCACGUCGGCCGCUGAAAUCCCCCGGCUCAACCGGGGAACUGGCGCCGAUACGACUGCCCUCGAGGAACGUAGGGGGACCUGGAACUUCCGGUGGAGCGGUGAAAUGCGUAGAGAUGUGGAGGAACACCGAUGGCGAAGGCAGCCUUCUGGGCCAAUACUGACGCUCAUGCACGGAAGCGUGGGGAGCAAACAGG